This 447-nucleotide long non-coding RNA is filed under the name Salvia miltiorrhiza (redroot sage). RNAcentral's name for it is "long non-coding RNA (SMIL_LNC005229)". The record is from RNAcentral. Lineage: Eukaryota; Viridiplantae; Streptophyta; Magnoliopsida; Lamiales; Lamiaceae.
GAGAUAGUAUUUGCAUAUAGAAAAAAGAUUCAAACGAAUGGAAAAUCAAGAUACAUAACUUAAAAUAACAAUGAAGCACACAAUAACUAUUAAUAUAACAUAUAAGCCAAUAUUUGCAACAUAAAUAGGAAGAAUGGAUAUCACACUUCUCUCUUUGGCUGUUUGAUUGAUUUGCCACUCAGAAGAGCAUCAGUGAGAGCAGUAGUAGAAGCAAGAGAGGCUUUCAGUAUGCUGCAAGCCUGCACCAACACAUUUUAUCUCAACAUCUAAACAUAACUAAAUAUAACAACCAAGAUUUUAAAUGAAAGUUUACCUCUUUCAGCCCUAUUUGCAUCUCCACUUCUUUGACAUCAGAUAUCGAGAUUUUCUGCUGUUUAAGAGAUGAAAGUGAUGAGGCGAUGCAAAAAGGUGUAACGGUUAAAUCAUCAGCCACGUGAUAAGUUGGAG